AGCGAACGCUGGCGGCAGGCCUAACACAUGCAAGUCGAACGGAUCCUUCGGGAUUAGUGGCGGACGGGUGAGUAACACGUGGAACGUGCCCUUUGGUUCGGAACAACUCAGGGAAACUUGAGCUAAUACCGGAUGUGCCCUUCGGGGGAAAGAUUUAUCGCCAUUGGAGCGGCCCGCGUCUGAUUAGCUAGUUGGUGAGGUAAAGGCUCACCAAAGGCGACGAUCAGUAGCUGGUCUGAGAGGAUGAUCAGCCACAUUGGGGACUGAGACACGGCCCAAACUCCCUACGGGAGGCAGCAGUGGGGAAUCUUGUGCAAUGGGGCGAAAAGUCCUGACGCAGCCAUGCCGCGUG
RNAcentral lists this ribosomal RNA (352 nucleotides) under uncultured bacterium. Its description in RNAcentral is "bacterial SSU rRNA". It matches the Rfam family "Bacterial small subunit ribosomal RNA", at positions 29 to 403 of the family's 1533-position model. The record is from RNAcentral.